This 684-nucleotide long non-coding RNA is filed under the name Diabrotica virgifera virgifera (western corn rootworm). RNAcentral describes it as "uncharacterized LOC126889487". The record is from RNAcentral. Lineage: Eukaryota; Metazoa; Arthropoda; Insecta; Coleoptera; Chrysomelidae.
GCUUAAUUUCCCGACUCUGCACCCCCCACUACUGUUUAUAUGUGCACGUAUUUAACUAAUGGCGGGAAGUUUGAAAAUGGCCAUGACCAAAACCAAAACCAGAGCAAUCUAACCUCACAUUUAAAAGUGUUUUGUAUAAGUGUUUGAACUAUUUUAAUUUUGUCAAAUUUACAUUUUAUAUUAAUAAAAGGUACCCUUAGAAUUUGAGGAACAAUUAUUUAGUGAUGAUGAAAGAAUAAUAUAUUUUUUAAGUAACGCUUGAACCUGUACCAACUAUACGAGAACGAAAAAAUUUAUGGAAGAAUUUGAUGAUAUAUAACAAAUUUUUUAAUUUUUAUUAAGUUUCCAUAAAAAUACUGUGAGAUAAUUUAUACAAGAGCUGGUUCCUGGUUUCCAUUAAAUAAUUCUUCAGUACGAUGAGCCUAAUAUCACAGAUCAAGUUUUAAUAACUUUAAAAACUUAUAUUAGGAGUUGUUUUAUUUAUUGUAUGGUUUUGGUGGUAUACCUACACAAAACAACUACUGAAAGAUUAAUAAAACCCAUGAAGUACUGGCAGAUAAUGUAGUUGUUGAUAUUGAUAGAGAAUAUGUUAACACAGAAGAUAUUCCAUUUAUGAGUACUAAUCUAUAAACAUGCUAUAAAAUACUAUAAAAUUUAGCAUUUAUAAUAAAUAUUUAAACCUUU